UUAACACAUGCAAGUCGAACGGUACAGGGAGCUUGCUCCCCUCGAUCAGUGGCGAACGGGUGAGUAACACGUGAGUAACCUGCCCCAGACUCUGGGAUAACAUCGGGAAACCGGUGCUAAUACCGGAUAUGAGACGAGACUGCAUGGUCAUCGUCUGGAAAGAUUUAUCGGUCUGGGAUGGACUCGCGGCCUAUCAGCUAGUUGGUGAGGUAACGGCUCACCAAGGCGACGACGGGUAGCCGGCCUGAGAGGGCGAACGGCCACACUGGAACUGAGACACGGUCCAGACUCCUACGUGAGGCAGCAGUGGGGAAUAUUGCACAAUGGGCGCAAGCCUGAUGCAGCGACGCCGCGUGGGGGAUGAAGGCCUUCGGGUUGUAAACCCCUUUCAGCAGGGAAGAAGCGAAAGUGACGGUACCUGCAGAAGAAGCGCC
RNAcentral lists this ribosomal RNA (434 nucleotides) under grassland soil clone saf2_208. RNAcentral describes it as "bacterial SSU rRNA". It matches the Rfam family "Bacterial small subunit ribosomal RNA", at positions 48 to 494 of the family's 1533-position model. The record is from RNAcentral.